CUAAGCUUCAGUAAUCUUCAGGAACGAGGCUCUAGGAUAAGAAUGUCCUAAGUAAUUAGUGAGUGAGGCCUGUUAGUGCUGAUCCAGGUCACAUAGUUCAGUUCUGCAAAAACAUUACCAAAUUGCCCUGCUGCUGGAAGUUCAGCAGCAAUGCAGAAGAGCAGCUCUGCCCUAGCCUGUGCGAGCUAUCCCAAGGGUCAGUGGGAAGGAGAAGGGAAAAUCUGCUCCUAGCAGAAUCCUGCCUGUCCCUUGCUGAGCUGGGGCUGUGAGCUCUGCCUGUGGCAUUCCCCAGCACGCAGCAGCCAGACGGGCUCAGCCCGAGCCUUGCCAUUAGGUGGUGGUCUAGAACAACGAGAAGAGAAUGCAGAUUGAGAUGUUCAGAGCAGCACUAGGAACUUGGCUGCAACUCUUCAGUGUAAUGGGGGCUCUUUUUUCUGUAGGGAUUAGGGAAAGCAAAUAUUUUAGCAUUAACUCUUUUUUUCUUCCUCAUCUCAAAUUAUUAUUGGUGAGAUGUGCUACAUCUUCAUAUCAUUUCCUGACACAUGCAACAUCAAAACCACCCACAUCUUAAGUUCUGUUACAACUUCAUAGUCUCUUUUUGUUCUGUAUUGACACAUCUGCUGGAAGAAUUGCAUCCUGAGGACACUGACAGGAUGUAAUGCUUUCCCAGUGUAGAGAUCUGACAGAUCUUAUUAUAGUGGUCAGGGACACUAGGAGAAAUUUCCAUUCCAGUUUAUAAAUAAUGUGUUAAUUUAAAUACAGGAAUUGCUUAGAACUGGUGUUUAGGAAGUUGGUAGGAAUGGGCAAGUAAUGAAGAAGAUAAAAAUCAUAGAAGCGGUACUUUGAUGAACCUACCAAAGCCCUAUGUUGCUGAUUUAUAACUAGUUUGGUUUUUUUUCCUACUUCUUAGUAUAAACAUUUUCAAAUACUUGGAUAGGGAAGUCAUCCCUCCUAAUCAUAUACCACUGAUUUGUGACUUUCUGCCAGUAACAGGCAAGCAGUCUGCAGUCUUGCUGGAGCCUGAUUGUAGCCAUUUUUUAAAAAGACGUGCUCAAAUCUAGACUAAGUGCAGAUGAAAAUGGUGUUUUCCUUACCUUUUGGAGCUGUAAUUGCAGAGGAUUUUGUGGGCUGUAGCUGCUCACUUUAUGGAGCCUGUGCUGUCAGCAGCUGAAGAACAUUGUCAGUGUUACAAAAUUUGGAGCUGUUACUGAUUUUCCACUAAAGAACUGCAAUGAUUUAACACAGGUAGACACACUUUCUUUUUCUGUAGGUUCCACUGUGAUUCCCAUUUUCCUAGUGUCUGUUCAAGCAAUUCAGUGUAUUCAGUCCUACCCAGUGCUAGCAGGCCUCCAUUGAUGACAGUGCUGGACAGUAAACACAAAUAAUUAUUUCAGUACCAUUCAGCCAGAGAUGGUGCUCAGUGUGUCAGGUGUUCGUUUUAAAUCCCUUUCUCACUUUGUUAGACCCUACUGUAAAAGCAGCUCAGGAUUUUUUAUGGCAGAGUUGUCAGUGCUGUGACCAGCAUUUUUUGGGUUCAGUAGAAGACAGGUUUGAUGAGAUGUAUGAGGUGUUCACAACAAUCCUUUUUCAUCAAUGCUGUGAUCUCAGGUCUUCAGGGAUUAUUAGCCACUGGCAUUGAUACAGAUAAAAAUCUUUUCACUGCAGUCUGUAGACUUCCUAUCCUUUUCUCUGUGGUUUUUCUGUGCAUUGCCAGUGUAAAUCAGUCUGCAGCUGUCAGAAAUGCUUGUCUCGUUGAUGUUUUCAUGAUAGUUUGAAACAGGAACUGAAGGCAGACAAACCAGUUAGUAGGGGUGAGCAUCAUCAUGCUCUGGCACAAAGUUGCUGUUCAUGUCUCUUGUUUCUGCGAGAUGAUACUUGAGCGAUGUCCCAAUAAUUCUUACAACACUUGGGUUUUAAGAAGCUCUAAUUUUCUAUAUAAUGUGUUUUUGUAAAAAAAAAAAAAAGCAAACCCAUAAUAAUGCAAUAUUGUAUCAAAGUGCAGUAAAGUAUCAAAAGCCCAUAAAUCCUUUUGGAAGUGCUGGACCCAAAACUGAAAAAGCAUAUUUUACUUACAACAACUCCCAGUAAGGAAAGCAAUAGACUAAAAGCCUGUGGCUAAAACAGAACAAAACCACACUUUAUAGGUCUGGUGCUGGUGUAGAGAAAAUCACUAAUGUAUCAAGAUUUUGGUAUCCCUCCCCACAGUAACCUGUAACUAACUUGAUGCUCAUCUUCUGUUCCUAUGAGCCCUUUCUGCUUAUAGGUAUGCUUAUUGCUUAUGCUCAGCAAACCCUUACCAUCCUUGGGGCAUUCCCUCAAGACAGUGGCCACCUUCUGCCUCAGACACAUGGAGGGGCAGCAGUAACAAUAGGUACAAAUAAUACAAAAGAAACUUCAACUUAAUCUAGUCUUAGAUACUGUUCCCAUUUUCUUAUUGCUUCCCAGAGAGGUACAGACUAAUCCUGCUGUGCCCAGCUUGCCUGCCAGGCCAGCAGGUAGAGACUGCCUUCAGGUUCCUGAAAAGUCCACAGCACACUCUGUACUGAAUGUUGUGGUUUAACCCCCUCAGGCACCUCAGCCCACAGCUGCUCAUUCAUUCACCUCCCUUGGAGGGAUGAGGGGGAGAACUGGAAAAGUAGAAGUGAGAAAACUCUAGGAACAAGGUAAAGACAAUUGAACAGAUAAAAGCUGCACACACAGGCAAAGGAAACUAAACCCAAGAAUUCAUUCACCACUUCCUCAUGGGCCAGCCAGCUAUGUCCAGGACAGCAGGGCUCCAUCACACCUAAUGGUGACUUCAGGAAGACAAACAUCAUCAAUCAGAAUGUUCCCCCUUCUUCCUUCCCCCAGCUUUAUACACUGAGCAUGACCUCUUACAGCCUGGAAUAUCCCUUGGGCCAGGAGGAGUCAGCUGUCCCAGCUCCUGGGGCAGCCUCAGCCUCCUCCCCAGUGAGAGGCUGUGAGAAGCAGAAAAGGCCUUGACACUGCAAGCCCCACUCAGCAAUAACAGAAACAUUCCUUGUUAUCAACACUGUUCUCAGCACAAAGCUGAAACAACAGCCCUGGACUGGUUACUGUGAGGAAAUUAUCUCUACCCCAGCCAAAACCAGCACCUUGAGACUCUAAAGUUUCCUAGUGUGCUUUUGAGUGAUCCAUUUGUUCCCCUCAGGAAUAAUAUGAAUAGUGUGUGUGAGAUUAUGACAGCUAUGUAUACAUGGUUAGCUUUAAUCAAGCUUUAAGAUAAAGCAGUAGUUGCUUAGAAUUUUAGGCUUAAAAAGUGGAGUAAAUGUGACCAGAGAACGCAGCAGCAUGCCUCUAUUUAUGGCUCCUCUGGAACUGUGUCUGUCUUGGCUAAGUUGGCAUCAUGAGCCAGUCCCACAGAAAUCAUCCUUGUACAGAUUUGACAUGAAAUCUUCCUGAAUUUGCACCUUUCCUGGCUCUGCUUCCUAAGUCUGACUGCUGAUGUCCCUCAGAGCAGCCAUCAUGGACAGGCCAGGUCUUCUCCCGUCUCACCUCCCUGCCCUUGCACCAAGACAUCACUAGAUAAAGCAGAAAGGUCUUCACAGCUUGAGGAUUCCCUGUUUAAAUACCCAUUUUGCUAAACUCUGGGGGAGGAAGCUGAUCCUGAUCCAAGGUCAGUGGGAGCAGAGUCAUGCUGAGGCAAAGGGUCAGGAGCAGCUAUUUGUCAAAGGAACAAGCCCGUGUCCCUGGGGAAGGGAUUUUUCUGCAUUUAAAUUCACUAAAACCAGAGUCAGAAGGAGCUUUCAGAAGCAAGGACUGAUUUGUGGAAGAAUGAGAGCAUCCUGAUCUUGGCCUGGGAGCUCUUGUUGGUCACGGAGACAAGCUGUAACUUCUAAGGAGUGACAAACUGCUAGAUUACAGCUCCCUCUUAACUCUGCAACUCACCUUUCAAAUCAAAUCACUUCAUGUUGGAGUAUCUCAGCAUACAGAGGCCAAGGAGACGAGGUUACCUCUGGAAAGUGUGCUCACAGCCUGGCUUCCAGAGGUGCUGAAGGCAUUUCCCUUGCAGCCCAUGUCCUCUCCUCUGAGCCAUGGAGGUUGCCACAUCCAGUUAUGUUGUUCAUAAACAAAUAAAACAGGCAAGUGUCACCCUUCUGCUUUUUAA
This is a long non-coding RNA of Parus major (Great Tit), 4126 nucleotides long. RefSeq lists it as uncharacterized. NCBI's taxonomy places the organism in Eukaryota, Metazoa, Chordata, Aves, Passeriformes, Paridae. The record is from RefSeq and is a predicted model, not a curated record. The transcript is spliced from 2 exons.